UUCCUCUUUUACUGCUUUAGUGUGAGAAAAGAUCAUUCUGGCUGAAGGCUACACCAUGAAAGAGAGUUGCACUCUCCCCAGUUUUGCAGCCUAACAGUUAAAACUGAGUUAUAGGUUUUUUAAAUAAAACAGAUGCCACUAUAAGGUUGAAAACAGAAGCUGAUUUAGAUGCAUGCUUCCUCAGAUAACAAACUGCUCCUCUGUAGAUGUCUGUCUCUGGUACCUGAAGCUGGGACUCUCAGAAUGAAUCAUAUGCAUCGGAAACUUGGCAAGGUGAUGGACACAACACAUCCUGAGCUCCACUGUAAAAUGCAGUCCCUUCUGCCUUAGUUGCACUAAGGCAUUCACCUGAUCACAGCAGUGAAUAGCUCAGGGCCAUUUCCCACCUAUUGGACCCAAGGCUGGAGUCAUGCAGUGCCGUGCCACCCAGGACGCUCCACUUGCAGAGUAGACAGGAGAUCUGCCAGCUGUUAGCGCUCUGAAUUUGUGUGGUGCGUUGCACCAGAGACUGCACUGGCACAAACCUCAUGGCUGGUAAAGAUGUGGUGUGCAUGUGUGGUUUUGGAACCAUAAUGGGAGGCAGCAAAAUGAACUAGAGUCCUUCCCACUUGGCGUCAACUCCAGUUGGUUACGUCGAUGUGUCCACAGAGCAUUGAAAUCAGAGUGCUUGGAAGAAAUAAAAUGCACGACCCUAUGCCCAAUGAGAGCCUGUGUAUCAGAAGCACCUCUGCAGCUGUCUUGGAAAUAUCCCUUUUUUUUUUUUUCCUGGUGAGCACAGUAGAUCCAAGGAACAAUUCAGUGUAUUUGUGAACAAUCUGCAAGCAGAGAGGCGGUUCCAGAUUAUAGUGCUGAGGUGAGACCAGUCCUGGAACAGGGACAAUACCUUGGGAUACAGCACCCAACCAUACAGCAUGAAUAGCAAGUAGCAAAUGCCCUUAGCGACUGGCUUGUGGAAAAAAAUUAAUUUGCUAAAGAGCAUUGGUAUUAAGUCGCCUUGAAGAGUUGUAAAUCACAAAGGGAAACCUGCUCCUGCAGUCUGUGAACAGGGACAGACUAUUACAGUGGAUCAGACUAUUACUAGCUAGUAUGAACUUAAUAGGAAGAGCUCAGAAAAUAGUAGGCUCAUCCAGAGGCAAAGCUCCUGCUGAAGUUGGCAGAGGCAGGAUGGGACCCAACAGGCAGAUUUUCCACUGUAGAGGACAGCUGCCCAUUUCCUCCUCUCCAGCACUCCAGUUUUCAACCCAGGUCCAGCUGCCUCAGUUGGAACCUUGGCUCCCAGAGCUCCAGCCUCCCCAGGCAGUGGGACUGAGGGGUGGGAGCAGGGUGCCCAGCCCAGGCCCUGUCCCUGGCACGGAAGACGCUGUGGAUAGGUAAGCCAAGCCCAGAGCAGGACAAAGCUGCAAGUGCUCUCAGGAAGGCUCUCACCAGCUGGAGGAGGGGGCUGCCCAGUGUGGGAGCAAAGUCAGUCCCUUCUAUUGCUAAAACCAACCCGGACACAGGUGCUUUUUGCCCUGACUGAUUCAAACACUUGCACAGAGCAGGUUUUCUUUUCGCUAGCACACUACCACGUGGGAUUCGCAACAAGGAGGUAUGAGGGAUAACAGCCCAUCUCUCAUACUCGACAGAGCCUGCAGGCUUCUUUUGCUGCUUUCAAGUUUCCCCUGCAUUAAUCCCCACAAUAACACACAAUCACCAGGAAAACCUUGGGAAAUAGGGGGCAGGGGGAUGUGGAUACUUUUCAGAGAGAAAGGUAUAAAAGGAAGCAAAGAACAUCACAGUGGAAAAACAUAGGUUGUCUGCUAUUCCAUUUUUUUGUUGAAUGGUGCUGAGAAGAGAAAACGAUCUUUCUGUACCUGUCAGGAAAGGAAGAAACAUGUUCCACUUCUCUCUCAAAAAAAAAAAAAAAAAAAAAGUCCAGUGAAACAAAAGGGAUAUUAUUUCUCUGACUUAGAGAAGCAAAGCAGUCUUCAGGGGUCUGUGAAGGUUUGUGAAGGUGCCCUUGCAGUUAUUGUCCUAAACACUGAAGAAAGCUUGUUUCCCAAAUGUGAAGGGUGGCACAGAUGACUCCUUCAAGAUGCUUGUCAGUUCCUGGGUAUCUCCAGCCACCUAAACAUGCCUCCAGUGUCUCUCAUCUGCAGUUUUGGAAAGUUUUCUGUAGGUGUCCUGCUGAUAGUGCAGCUCUCUGAAGCUGCUCCCCCAUCUCUCUGAAGAUGUCAUUGAGCCUCACCAAUGCUGUUCCUGAUGUGGCUUGCUCUCACUGUAACUUCCAGAUGCUGACGCUGAAGGAAACCAGGGCUCCCUCUGAACAGACUUUUUGUCUUCUCUGCUUCACUGCACGAUCCUACAGUUAGCAGCCAAGAUAUACAGAAACAGACUUGUGGAGUGCAUAAACUUUGAUGCUCUUUAUUUCAGGUCUGGGAUCAUGGGCUAUUGUAUUCUAAAACAAAUGACAGCUCAGAUGACACAAACACAAGUUUCAGCUCACCUAACAAGUAUAUUUCUAGUUCAUCACUUUUCCUGAGCUCUUCUGCAUUAUGAUGCUUUUUUUUUUUUUGUACACUAAGCAUUUUCAUUCAGGCCAAAAUUAAUGUUUGAGUGUGUUUAGGGUGACCCUAUUCUGCAUUUUGUUUCAAGGAUAGCACAUCUAGGUAUGCUGAGGCAAGUCCAAAGAGCCUGCUAAUGCAUGAGCUGGAGUAAUGAGUGCAACAAAACUUAAGCCUGUGACUGAAUCCGUGUGGCAGGCAAGCAGGCGCUGGAUUGGAGCUGCCGGGUCAAUGUGCAGCAAUAAAUAUGUCAGGACACCCAAAUGGCUAUGUCUCCCCUGUGGGCUGUGGCACUGCACUUCAGCAAGUCCUGGUGCCCAGCCAUGGCCUGCCUUGGUUUUGUAGGCACUGAUAACAUGCACCAAGCACAAUACAGUCUGAUCUAAUAUAAUUUCACCCAAGGAAUCACUCAGGCUAGCGGCUGUAAAAGACAUAUAUUCAACAUCACCCUUUGAUAGUCAAUUCAUGUUCCCCAUCUAAGACAAUAUGGUUAAAACCAAACAACCAACCCAGCACAAAACACAAGUAGCUGCAGCAGAAUGUAUAUUUCAUUUUUACAUUAAAAACUACUUACAGUGAUAGAUGAUAGCACAGCACAAUCCAGAAACCAGCUGCCUAUAUUAUGCAUUAUAACAAUAUUUAUUUUAAUUCCAAAGAACUGUAGUUUGAGGACUUUUAUUAAAAUAGACACUGUAAAUGUUA
Molecule: long non-coding RNA, 3245 nt
Organism: Falco peregrinus (peregrine falcon)
Lineage: Eukaryota; Metazoa; Chordata; Aves; Falconiformes; Falconidae
Exons: 4
Source: RefSeq, a predicted model, not a curated record